UACGAAGGGGGCUAGCGUUGUUCGGAAUUACUGGGCGUAAAGCGCGUGUAGGCGGGCCGUUAAGUCGGGGGUGAAAGCCCAGAGCUCAACUCUGGAAUUGCCUUCGAUACUGGCGGCCUGGACCCGAGUAGAGGCGAGUGGAAUUGCGAGUGUAGAGGUGAAAUUCGUAGAUAUUCGCAGGAACACCAGUGGCGAAGGCGACUCGCUGGACUCGUGGUGACGCUGAGACGCGAAAGCGUGGGGAGCAAACAGG
Molecule: ribosomal RNA, 253 nt
Filed under: uncultured bacterium
Lineage: Bacteria
Description: partial 16S ribosomal RNA
Rfam family: Bacterial small subunit ribosomal RNA
Source: RNAcentral